GACGAACGCUGGCGGCGUGCUUAACACAUGCAAGUCGAACGGAAAGGCCCUGCUUUUGUGGGGUGCUCGAGUGGCGAACGGGUGAGUAACACGUGAGUAACCUGCCCUUGACUUUGGGAUAACUUCAGGAAACUGGGGCUAAUACCGGAUAGGAGCUCCUGCUGCAUGGGGGGGGUUGGAAAGUUUCGGCGGUUGGGGAUGGACUCGCGGCUUAUCAGCUUGUUGGUGGGGUAGUGGCUUACCAAGGCUUUGACGGGUAGCCGGCCUGAGAGGGUGACCGGCCACAUUGGGACUGAGGUACGGCCCAGACUCCUACGGGAGGCAGCAGUGGAGAAUAUUGCACAAUGGGCGGAAGCCUGAUGCAGCAACGCCGCGUGCGGGAUGACGGCCUUCGGGUUGUAAACCGCUUUCGCCUGUGACGAAGCGUGAGUGACGGUAAUGGGUAAAGAAGCACCGGCUAACUACGUG
This 468-nucleotide ribosomal RNA is filed under the name uncultured bacterium. RNAcentral describes it as "partial 16S ribosomal RNA". It matches the Rfam family "Bacterial small subunit ribosomal RNA", at positions 28 to 507 of the family's 1533-position model. The record is from RNAcentral.